GGCCUUGUGAACCUGCUCUCUUGCAAAGAUCCCUAUUCGAAAAAAGCCUUGGCUCCCUUUGAUCCCUUCUCUCGCUCAACUCUGGCAUGGAGUAGCUUCGGUUGCCCCUGCUAGAAACGAGACAUUCCACACUCUCUGGAACCCUAUUUGGUGAAACCCCUCCACCCGCAAACAUUCUUGCUUGACAAAGGAGUUCAGUUGCGUUUGAUCCCUGCUCUCCCUCAACCCUGGUCUACACUAGCUUUGUUUGACAUUGCAGUGAAGAAACGUUACUUUCCCUUGGAACCCUUUUGGUGAAACCCCUCUCAACAUCGGAAGAGAUCCCUUCGGCUGGAACCUUUAUGGUGAAAUCCCUGCUCUCUAUCUCUCUUGUCUCUCAUAUCUUCAAGGCAAAGCGGGUACGAAAAGACUAUAUUGCCCCUCAAUGCUCUGAAGAUGCAUCUACGUGGCCUCCCCUUGGUGUACAAGCUGAUGUAGUGGCUGCAUAAGCAGGACACAACUUUUUAUUGGGAACAACAAAAAUACGUUUCCAGGAAUCAAUGCGAAAGAUUACCUCUCGAGGUGGGGGUUGGGAGAAGCUGAAGUUGACUUUUGUCUGGAUGGCAAGCUUGACAUCAUCACAGUCAAUUGCAGGCUUGCCAGCAUGUUCGGAGUACACCAAUGCAUCUGUCAAAACAUCACCAACAUAACGAUACCACAGUUCAAGGAACUGGUGCACCACACGGGGCUCAUAUUCCCGGACACCCAUUGAUUUCAGCAAUGAUUUGACUAUCUUUGCAUCCCUUGGCAAUUCCUCGUCUCCCUCCUCCCUCUCUGCCAUCAGUAGCUAGCUUUUUGCCUGUGUAAAAGCCCAUAAUACAGUCCUCUGAGUAUCAUUUCAACACAUGAUUAGAAGAGA
Molecule: long non-coding RNA, 898 nt
Organism: Macadamia integrifolia
Lineage: Eukaryota; Viridiplantae; Streptophyta; Magnoliopsida; Proteales; Proteaceae
Exons: 3
Source: RefSeq, a predicted model, not a curated record